This 253-nucleotide ribosomal RNA is filed under the name uncultured bacterium. RNAcentral's name for it is "partial 16S ribosomal RNA". It matches the Rfam family "Bacterial small subunit ribosomal RNA", at positions 524 to 776 of the family's 1533-position model. The record is from RNAcentral.
UACGAACUGUGCAAACGUUAUUCGGAAUUACUGGUCUUACAGGGUGCGUAGGCGGUUUGUUAAGUAGGGCGUGAAAGCCCCCGGCUCAACCGGGGAAUUGCGCCCUAAACUGGCGGACUGGAGUGAGAUAGGGGUGUGCGGAACUUCCGGUGGAGCGGUGAAAUGUGUUGAUAUCGGAAGGAACGCCGGUGGCGAAAGCGGCACACUGGAACUCAACAGACGCUGAGGCACGAAAGCCAGGGGAGCGAACGGG